This 439-nucleotide ribosomal RNA is filed under the name uncultured bacterium. Its description in RNAcentral is "partial 16S ribosomal RNA". It matches the Rfam family "Bacterial small subunit ribosomal RNA", at positions 339 to 795 of the family's 1533-position model. The record is from RNAcentral.
CUACGGGUUGCAGCAGUGAGGAAUAUUGCACAAUGGGGGGAACCCUGAUGCAGCAACGCCGCGUGGAGGAUGACGCAUUUCGGUGUGUAAACUCCUUUUAUAUAUCAAGAAAAUGACGGUAGCAUAUGAAUAAGCACCGGCUAACUCCGUGCCAGCAGCCGCGGUAAUACGGAGGGUGCAAGCGUUACUCGGAAUCACUGGGCGUAAAGGACGCGUAGGCGGGUUGGAAAGUCAGGUGUGAAAUCCUACGGCUUAACUGUAGAACUGCACUUGAAACUUCUAAUCUAGAGUAUGGGAGGGGGAGAUGGAAUUAGUGGUGUAGGGGUAAUAUCCGUAGAUAUCACUAGGAAUACCUAAAGCGAAGGCGAUCUCCUGGAACAUUACUGACGCUAAGGCGUGAAAGCGUGGGGAGCAAACAGGAUUAGAUACCCUUGUAGUC